RNAcentral lists this ribosomal RNA (440 nucleotides) under uncultured bacterium. Its description in RNAcentral is "partial 16S ribosomal RNA". It matches the Rfam family "Bacterial small subunit ribosomal RNA", at positions 338 to 795 of the family's 1533-position model. The record is from RNAcentral.
CCUACGGGGCGCAGCAGUGGGGAAUAUUGCACAAUGGGGGAAACCCUGAUGCAGCGACGCCGCGUGAGUGAAGAAGUAUCUCGGUACGUAAAGCUCUAUCAGCAGGGAAGAAAAUGACGGUACCUGACUAAGAAGCCCCGGCUAACUACGUGCCAGCAGCCGCGGUCAUCCGUAGGGGGCAAGCGUUAUCCGGAUUUACUGGGUGUAAAGGGAGCGUAGACGGCAGUACAAGUCUGGAGUGAAAUCCCGGGGCUUAACCCCGGAACUGCUUUGGAAACUGUGCAGCUGGAGUGCAGGAGGGGUAAGCGGAAUUCCUGGGGUAGCGGUGAAAUGCGUAGAUAUUAGGAGGAACACCGGUGGCGAAGGCGGCUUACUGGACUGUAACUGACGUUGAGGCUCGAAAGCGUGGGGAGCAAACAGGAUUAGAUACCCUUGUAGUC